GAUGAACGCUGGCGGCGUGCCUAACACAUGCAAGUCGAACGGAGUCCAGCCUUUAAGACCUUCGGGUCAAAGAGGGGAAGACUGAGUGGCGGACGGGUGAGUAACACGUGGGCAACCUGGCUCAUAGAGGGGGAUAACAGAGAGAAAUUUCUGCUAAUGCCGCAUAAGCACACACUGCCGCAUGGCAGAGGGUGAAAAGAGAAUCGCGAUGAGAUGGACCCGCGUCUGAUUAGCCAGUUGGCAGGGUAAGAGCCUACCAAAGCGACGAUCAGUAGCCGAUCUGAGAGGAUGAACGGCCACAUUGGGACUGAGACACGGCCCAAACCCCUACGGGAGGCAGCAGUGGGGGAUAUUGCACAAUGGGGGGAACCCUGAUGCAGCGACGCCGCGUGAGUGAAGAAGUAUUUCGGUAUGUAAAGCUCUAUCAGCAGGGAAGAUAAUGACAGUACCUGAAUAAGAAGCCCCGGCUAACUACGUG
This 478-nucleotide ribosomal RNA is filed under the name uncultured bacterium. RNAcentral describes it as "partial 16S ribosomal RNA". It matches the Rfam family "Bacterial small subunit ribosomal RNA", at positions 28 to 507 of the family's 1533-position model. The record is from RNAcentral.